GUCAGUUGGAUAGCUCAGUUGGUUAGAGCAUGGUGCUGAUAACGUCAUGGUUGCAGGUUCGAUCCCCAUAUGGGACA
Molecule: transfer RNA, 77 nt
Filed under: Podarcis lilfordi (Lilford's wall lizard)
Lineage: Eukaryota; Metazoa; Chordata; Lepidosauria; Squamata; Lacertidae
Description: tRNA.Ile
Source: RNAcentral